RNAcentral lists this ribosomal RNA (467 nucleotides) under uncultured bacterium. RNAcentral's name for it is "partial 16S ribosomal RNA". It matches the Rfam family "Bacterial small subunit ribosomal RNA", at positions 28 to 506 of the family's 1533-position model. The record is from RNAcentral.
GACGAACGCUGGCGGCGUGCUUAACACAUGCAAGUCGAACGGACAGGCCCUGCUCUUGCGGGGUGCUCGUGUGGCGCAAGGGUGAGUAUCACGUGAGUAACAUGCCCUUGACUUUCGGAUAUCUUCUGGAAACUGGGGAUAAUACCGCAUAGGAGCUCCUGCUGCAUGGUGGGGGUUGGAAAGUGUCGGCGGUUGGGGCUGGACUCGCGGCUUAUCAGCUUGAUGGUGGGGUAGUGGAGUACACAGGCUUUGAAGGGUAGCCAGCCUGAGAGGGUGACCGGCCACAGUGGGACUGGGAUACGGCCCAGACGCCUACGGGAGGCAGCAGUGGGGAAUAGUGGACAAAGGGCGGAAGGCGUAUUCAGCAACGCCGCGUGCGAAAAGUCGGCCUUCGGGUUGUAAACCGCUUGCGCCUGUGUCGAAGCGUGAGGGACGUAAAUGGGUAAAGAAGCACCGGCUAACUACGU